This is a long non-coding RNA of Pantherophis guttatus, 742 nucleotides long. RefSeq lists it as uncharacterized. The record is from RefSeq and is a predicted model, not a curated record. NCBI's taxonomy places the organism in Eukaryota, Metazoa, Chordata, Lepidosauria, Squamata, Colubridae.
GAUGUAAUGUCUGGAUAGACUUUGGAAAUUUGAGAGUGAAAUGCAUAUUUUCUGUUGCACAUGAAUCCUUUGAUUAAAUCAAGGUUGCUAUAAACAGGUUUCAUCUCCAUAAAAAUCACAAUUUACAAAAAAAAAAAAAAAAAAACCUCCUAGAAAACAUUGCAAAUAGCCUUCUUGAAACCAUGUACAUCCAUAUGUGACUAGCAACAAACCAAAUCAGAAAAUCCAGAAGCACGGUGAAGAGGUGCCCUUACACCAAAACCAGAAAAAUUGGAAGAACGUAUAUCAAGACUUCUAUGCAGAGGUUAAAUACGAGAACAUUGAAGAUGACUAUUUCUUCAUGAACAUCAUAAAACAACUCAUGAAAAGGCUAGUAACUUCUACUACCUUUGAGAAUUCUACCCUUCUUUGCUUUAGCUAACCUGGGCUUGAAUGAUUAACAGCUGACAACUACCAAAUUAUGACUGUUAUUCUACCAUCAUACUAUUUCUGAAGCUUACAACUCAGGAGAAGAUUCAGCACUACUUGAGCUGUACCAGUGGUAUCAAGGCCACAGCUAAAAUGAAACGGACCAAAUGAGAUUACCAACUAUGUCAACCUUCACAAUAAUCUUUGCUCUAAUCAUCACUGAAGUCAUAAACUAUGACUACUCUGUAUCAUUUCAGAUUGCAAGAAAUGAGUCUUACGAUUUAACAUGAAAAAAAAAAUCCCUACAUGUAAACUAGUAAAUUAGGAACUUUGA